Molecule: ribosomal RNA, 922 nt
Filed under: Escherichia coli
Lineage: Bacteria; Pseudomonadati; Pseudomonadota; Gammaproteobacteria; Enterobacterales; Enterobacteriaceae
Description: partial 23S ribosomal RNA
Rfam family: Bacterial large subunit ribosomal RNA
Source: RNAcentral
GGAAAGGCGCGCGAUACAGGGUGACAGCCCCGUACACAAAAAUGCACAUGCUGUGAGCUCGAUGAGUAGGGCGGGACACGUGGUAUCCUGUCUGAAUAUGGGGGGACCAUCCUCCAAGGCUAAAUACUCCUGACUGACCGAUAGUGAACCAGUACCGUGAGGGAAAGGCGAAAAGAACCCCGGCGAGGGGAGUGAAAAAGAACCUGAAACCGUGUACGUACAAGCAGUGGGAGCACGCUUAGGCGUGUGACUGCGUACCUUUUGUAUAAUGGGUCAGCGACUUAUAUUCUGUAGCAAGGUUAACCGAAUAGGGGAGCCGAAGGGAAACCGAGUCUUAACUGGGCGUUAAGUUGCAGGGUAUAGACCCGAAACCCGGUGAUCUAGCCAUGGGCAGGUUGAAGGUUGGGUAACACUAACUGGAGGACCGAACCGACUAAUGUUGAAAAAUUAGCGGAUGACUUGUGGCUGGGGGUGAAAGGCCAAUCAAACCGGGAGAUAGCUGGUUCUCCCCGAAAGCUAUUUAGGUAGCGCCUCGUGAAUUCAUCUCCGGGGGUAGAGCACUGUUUCGGCAAGGGGGUCAUCCCGACUUACCAACCCGAUGCAAACUGCGAAUACCGGAGAAUGUUAUCACGGGAGACACACGGCGGGUGCUAACGUCCGUCGUGAAGAGGGAAACAACCCAGACCGCCAGCUAAGGUCCCAAAGUCAUGGUUAAGUGGGAAACGAUGUGGGAAGGCCCAGACAGCCAGGAUGUUGGCUUAGAAGCAGCCAUCAUUUAAAGAAAGCGUAAUAGCUCACUGGUCGAGUCGGCCUGCGCGGAAGAUGUAACGGGGCUAAACCAUGCACCGAAGCUGCGGCAGCGACGCUGAUGCGUUGUUGGGUAGGGGAGCGUUCUGUAAGCCUGCGAAGGUGUGCUGUGAGG